This 430-nucleotide ribosomal RNA is filed under the name Pseudomonadota bacterium. RNAcentral describes it as "Proteobacteria bacterium partial 16S ribosomal RNA". It matches the Rfam family "Bacterial small subunit ribosomal RNA", at positions 355 to 776 of the family's 1533-position model. The record is from RNAcentral. Lineage: Bacteria; Pseudomonadati; Pseudomonadota.
UGGGGAAUAUUGGACAAUGGGCGAAAGCCUGAUCCAGCCAUGCCGCGUGUGUGAAGAAGGCCUUAUGGUUGUAAAGCACUUUAAGCGAGGAGGAGGCUACUUUAGUUAAUACCUAGAGAUAGUGGACGUUACUCGCAGAAUAAGCACCGGCUAACUCUGUGCCAGCAGCCGCGGUAAUACAGAGGGUGCAAGCGUUAAUCGGAAUUACUGGGCGUAAAGCGCGCGUAGGUGGUUCGUUAAGUUGAAUGUGAAAGCCCCGGGCUCAACCUGGGAACUGCAUCCAAAACUGGCGAGCUAGAGUAGGGCAGAGGGUGGUGGAAUUUCCUGUGUAGCGGUGAAAUGCGUAGAUAUAGGAAGGAACACCAGUGGCGAAGGCGACCACCUGGGCUCAUACUGACACUGAGGUGCGAAAGCGUGGGGAGCAAACAGG